GGAUAACGUUUGGAAACGAACGCUAAUACCGCAUGAUAUUAUUGAGCUGCAUGGCUUGAUAAUCAAAGGGGCAAUCCGCUGAAAGAUGGGCUCGCGUCCGACUAGGUAGUUGGCGGGGCAACGGCCCACCAAGCCGACGAUCGGUAGCCGGACUGAGAGGUUGAACGGCCACAUUGGGACUGAGACACGGCCCGGACUCCUACGGGAGGCAGCAGUGAGGGAUAUUGGUCAGUGGGGGAAACCCUGAACCAGCAACGCCGCGUGAGGGAAGACGGUUUUCGGAUUGUAAACCUCUGUCCUCUGUGAAGAUAAUGACGGUAGCAGAGGAGGAAGCUCCGGCUAACUACGUGCCAGCAGCCGCGGUAAUACGUAGGGAGCAAGCGUUGUCCGGAUUUACUGGGUGUAAAGGGUGCGUAGGCGGCUUUGCAAGUCAGAAGUGAAAUCCAUGGGCUUAACCCAUGAACCGCUUUUGAAACUGCAGAGCUUGAGUGGAGUAGAGGUAGGCGGAAUUCCCGGUGUAGCGGUGAAAUGCGUAGAGAUCGGGAGGAACACCAGUGGCGAAGGCGGCCUGCUGGGCUCUAACUGACGCUGAGGCACGAAAGCGUGGGUAGCAAACAGGAUUAGAUACCCUGGUAGUCCACGCUGUAAACGAUGAUUACUAGGUGUGGGUGGACUGACCCCAUCCGUGCCGGAG
Molecule: ribosomal RNA, 694 nt
Filed under: uncultured bacterium
Lineage: Bacteria
Description: bacterial SSU rRNA
Rfam family: Bacterial small subunit ribosomal RNA
Source: RNAcentral